CGGGGAUUAGUUCAGAUGGCUAGAACGUACGCAUGGGGUGCGUAAGGUCGCUGGUUCGAGUCCAGUAUCCCCGACCA
RNAcentral lists this transfer RNA (77 nucleotides) under candidate division CPR3 bacterium GWF2_35_18. RNAcentral describes it as "tRNA-Pro". It matches the Rfam family "tRNA". From Rfam's summary of the family: Transfer RNA (tRNA) molecules are approximately 80 nucleotides in length. The record is from RNAcentral. RNAcentral also lists the same sequence under 2 other names. Lineage: Bacteria; candidate division CPR3.